RNAcentral lists this ribosomal RNA (253 nucleotides) under uncultured bacterium. Its description in RNAcentral is "partial 16S ribosomal RNA". It matches the Rfam family "Bacterial small subunit ribosomal RNA", at positions 524 to 776 of the family's 1533-position model. The record is from RNAcentral.
UACAGAGGGUGCAAGCGUUAAUCGGAAUUACUGGGCGUAAAGCGUGCGUAGUCGGUUAUCUAAGUCGGAUGUGAAAUCCCCGGGCUCAACCUGGGAAUUGCAUUCGAUACUGGAUAGCUAGAGUUCGGCAGAGGGAAGUGGAAUUUCGGGUGUAGCGGUGAAAUGCGUAGAUAUCCGAAGGAACAUCAGUGGCGAAAGCGACUUCCUGGACCAGAACUGACGAUCAGGCACGAAAGCGUGGGGAGCAAACAGG